AGUGAACGCUGGCGGUAGGCCUAACACAUGCAAGUCGAACGGCAGCACAGUAAGAGCUUGCUCUUACGGGUGGCGAGUGGCGGACGGGUGAGGAAUACAUCGGAAUCUACUUUUUCGUGGGGGAUAACGUAGGGAAACUUACGCUAAUACCGCAUACGACCCACGGGUGAAAGCAGGGGGUCUUCGGACCUUGCGCGAUUGAAUGAGCCGAUGUCGGAUUAGCUAGUUGGCGGGGUAAAGGCCCACCAAGGCGACGAUCCGCAGCUGGUCUGAGAGGAUGAUCAGCCACACUGGAACUGAGACACGGUCCAGACUCCUACGGGAGGCAGCAGUGGGGAAUAUUGGACAAUGGGCGCAAGCCUGAUCCAGCCAUACCGCGUGGGUGAAGAAGGCCUUCGGGUUGUAAAGCCCUUUUGUUGGGAAAGAAAAGCAGCAGGUUAAUACCCCGCUGUUCUGACGGUACCCAAAGAAUAAGCACCGGCUAACUUCGUG
RNAcentral lists this ribosomal RNA (492 nucleotides) under uncultured bacterium. Its description in RNAcentral is "partial 16S ribosomal RNA". It matches the Rfam family "Bacterial small subunit ribosomal RNA", at positions 29 to 507 of the family's 1533-position model. The record is from RNAcentral.